GGGCCUAUAGCUCAAUUGGUAGAGCGGGGGACUCUUAAUCCACAGGUUCCAGGUUCAAGUCCUGGUAGGCUCA
RNAcentral lists this transfer RNA (73 nucleotides) under Spirochaetota bacterium. RNAcentral describes it as "Spirochaetes bacterium (activated sludge metagenome) tRNA-Lys". It matches the Rfam family "tRNA". Rfam says of the family: Transfer RNA (tRNA) molecules are approximately 80 nucleotides in length. Their secondary structure includes four short double-helical elements and three loops (D, anti-codon, and T loops). The record is from RNAcentral. Lineage: Bacteria; Pseudomonadati; Spirochaetota.